GAUGAACGCUGGCGGCGUGCCUAAUACAUGCAAGUCGAGCGAACGGACGAGAAGCUUGCUUCUCUGAUGUUAGCGGCGGACGGGUGAGUAACACGUGGAUAACCUACCUAUAAGACUGGGAUAACUUCGGGAAACCGGAGCUAAUACCGGAUAAUAUUUUGAACCGCAUGGUUCAAAAGUGAAAGACGGUCUUGCUGUCACUUAUAGAUGGAUCCGCGCUGCAUUAGCUAGUUGGUAAGGUAACGGCUUACCAAGGCAACGAUGCAUAGCCGACCUGAGAGGGUGAUCGGCCACACUGGAACUGAGACACGGUCCAGACUCCUACGGUAGGCAGCAGUAGGGAAUCUUCCGCAAUGGGCGAAAGCCUGACGGAGCAACGCCGCGUGAGUGAUGAAGGUCUUCGGAUCGUAAAACUCUGUUAUUAGGGAAGAACAUAUGUGUAAGUAACUGUGCACAUCUUGACGGUACCUAAUCAGAAAGCCACGGCUAACUACGU
Molecule: ribosomal RNA, 496 nt
Filed under: uncultured bacterium
Lineage: Bacteria
Description: partial 16S ribosomal RNA
Rfam family: Bacterial small subunit ribosomal RNA
Source: RNAcentral